AGAGUCAAGUGGUUACGUUUGCGAUAUUAAAAUUGUAAAUAGUUGUAUAUAUUUACAUAAAAAACAGAGAAAACCUAACAUGCAUGCUUGAAAUAAUCUGUUUUUCAUUUGUUUAGAAUGAAAUGUUUAUUUGGUAAAACGUUAUAAUAAGGUCUUUUAGUUAAAUAUUUGAUUUAACAUGAAAAAUAGGCUAUAAAAACAUUGCAACAUAUCUGUGGUAUCAGUAUGAAGCAAGCUUAUAUUCCUUUCCAGAAACUGCUGUGCCAUUGUUUGCUGACCUUCACAUUUCAAAAACAACCACUCAAGUCCUGCUCACAAACUCUGAUAAAACUCCUUUAGUUUUAUCAACUAAGCGGCUGACUGUGCUUGAGUCCAGAGAAAAUGGACUUGAAAGCUCCAGCGAAACUGGCACAUCCCACAAUAUUUAUAGACCGCACAGGUUACAGCACGCUAGAUCACUGAGGAAGCUGAGGUGUGUGCGUCGCGAUUCAGACGCAGAUGAUCACUGAAUGACCGCAGCGCCCUCUGUUGGCAGCGCAUGCGCAUCACACACUACCUCAUGACGGGGUAAAUCAAUCAAACUAACCUCGUUUAAGUGAGUACAGUUCUUGCUGAGCUGAUUGAGCUGUAUGGGGGGUCUUAAAAUGAAAGCAGUGGACUGAUGGAGUUCAUGGUGGGCCUCAAUUUGAACAUCUGAAAUAUAAAAUGUCAAAUAUGUCAGCAUGAAGCCAAACCAUUUUAUUAAAGUUUUAUACAAGCAAUGUAAAAAUUAGUUGCCCACUGCUGUGGAAGCCCAUUUCCAAAACUGGAUAAAAUAAAUAAAUAAAAUAGGUAAUUAAGACUUUUAUAUCUCAUAAUUCUCACUUUUCCUCAUAAUUCUGAGCUUAUAUCUCACAAUACUGGCUUUUAUGUUGUUAUUUAGAGUUUAUAUUAUCUCUGUGGUUGACGGCUGAUUUUACUUUUGAAAUCUUGUGUUGAACCAGCAAAGCAGCAAGUUCAUUACACAAGCUGUUCUGAAAAUUAUAAAAAAAUCAUAAGUCCUUUAAAAUCAUAGUGAAAUGUAUUACACCACAACCUGCACAGGCCCAGCAACAUGCAGAAUUAUUAAUGACAUAGGCUGAAUUAUUCAAUAUAAUACAACUCCUUUUCUAUCUGAGUUUCAUUGAUUUCACGCAUUAGCUUUACUUUACUUUUAUUUUACUCCAGGAUCAUGUGAUUUCUUUGUUCCCUGAUUGCAUUCAGGUGCCUAGAAUAUUCAUCACCAUGUGAUUGUAUAGCUUUGUUUGUCGUGGAGUUUUUGGGUUUCCCCUUGCAUUCUUCUGUAUAUGUAUGUCUUUUUUUCUUUCUUUUUUUUUUAAUCUUACUUUGCUUAAUUUUUGUGGUAGUUACUUUGAAUGAAAUAAUAAUAAUAAAGUGCAUUUAAAACUUUAAAUAUGAAAGCAUGUUUCCGCCACCAGAUUUAUAUAUAUAUAUAUAUAUAUAUAUAUAAAUAAAAUAAAAAACGAAUAAAAAAAGUUAAUUGCAACUUCUUAUCUCAAAUUUCGGAGAUAUAAACCCAUGCUCAUUGGAAACGGCCUACGUGCAUAUCAUAUGCAUGGGUUUUCUAAUGUUAAUGUGAAUGAA
This is a long non-coding RNA of Cyprinus carpio carpio, 1623 nucleotides long. The record is from Ensembl. Lineage: Eukaryota; Metazoa; Chordata; Actinopteri; Cypriniformes; Cyprinidae.